RNAcentral lists this long non-coding RNA (498 nucleotides) under Meleagris gallopavo (turkey). RNAcentral describes it as "lncRNA (ENSMGAG00000020332.1)". The record is from RNAcentral. Lineage: Eukaryota; Metazoa; Chordata; Aves; Galliformes; Phasianidae.
UUAUACCAUAAAGAAAAUACACCAUGACUGUUUACGAGAAGCAGGAGGAGAGAAGGGGACUAUCUAAAUGCAAAGAAAGUGACGCUCUGCCAUCUGUUCCCAUGCAUGGUCACCAGGCUGCUCUGCUGUAUUAGAGGCAGCUGCUCCCUCUUCCAAGAGUUAACGUGAGAUGCAGAAAAGAGAAUAUCCACCCUCCCACUCUGACCAUGCCUGCAAAGGAUCACAGUAAGAACCUCUAUGAAGCAUAUUGCCUUCCCUUGGCAGCUGUACUGUACUACUGCAGUUUCUGGUAGCCUGUUUGUGACACGCGCUGGCAGCAACAACAUUAGAACUGUUCUCCUUGAAUGACCAUCUCAGGAAUACCUAUUAACUCGCACCUACAAACAAGUUUUAUUAAUGUCCAAAAGCAACCAUUCACAAACCAAGAAAAUCAGAAAUGCACGUUUGCAUUUUAGUUGUCUGAUUCCAAGGAUGCUUUACCCUGAGUGAGUAACAUUA